AGAGUGGCAUAGCUACAGACUCCUGCUCCUGAGCUGGCUGGGGUGUAUGCGGGAUGUGAGAUGGUGAUAAGCUGACAAGGUUCCAGGUUUCCCCUACAUUAUUCUCCCCUGCAGACAUCCUCCCUGGACCCACAAGUUGAGUCUGUCCCCGCCCUUCACUUUGGGCAGACUGUGGAUGGGCCUCCCUUUCUACAGAUGGAACCUCUGUCUCUCCCUCACUUUCACUCCAUAUCCUCACACAUUCAGAACCUUGGGAAAUGGUUGAGUCUGGCGCAGAGUAAAGCCCAAACACACUCCGCUCUCUCUU
Pelobates cultripes (western spadefoot toad) is the source of this 307-nucleotide non-coding RNA. NCBI's taxonomy places the organism in Eukaryota, Metazoa, Chordata, Amphibia, Anura, Pelobatidae. The record is from the annotation of a GenBank genome assembly.